CUGCUGCCUCCCGUAGGAGUCUGGGCCGUGUCUCAGUCCCAGUGUGGGGGGGCCUUCCUCUCAGAACCCCUACGCAUCGUCGCCACGGUGGGCCGUCACCCCGCCGUCUAGCUAAUGCGCCGCAUGCCCAUCCGCCACCGGAUCGCUCCUUUGGCCACCGGAGGAUGCCCUCCGGUGGCGUCACGGGGUAUUAGGCCGCGUUUCCGCGGGUUAUCCCCCUGUGGCGGCCAGGUUGCAUACGUGUUACUCACCCGUGCGCCGGUCGCCGGG
RNAcentral lists this ribosomal RNA (270 nucleotides) under uncultured bacterium. Its description in RNAcentral is "partial 16S ribosomal RNA". The record is from RNAcentral.